Erinaceus europaeus (western European hedgehog) is the source of this 326-nucleotide non-coding RNA. The record is from Rfam. Lineage: Eukaryota; Metazoa; Chordata; Mammalia; Eulipotyphla; Erinaceidae.
GGAUGUGAGGUCGAUCUGGCUGCGACAUCUGUCACCCCAUUGAUCGCCAGGGUUGAUUCGGCUGAUCUGGCUGGCUAGGCGGGUGUCCCCUUCCUCCCUCACUGCUCCAUGUGCGUCCCUCCCGAAGCUGCACACUCGGUCGAAGAGGACGACCUUCCCCGAAUAAAGAUGGACUGGUCUUCAGUCGAAGGUAUACGAGUAGCUACGCUCCCCUGCUAGAACUUCCAAACAAGCUCUCUGAUAUUCGGAGUGAACAUCAUUCUCAUGAUUUCCUUUUGUCUCCACCCCCCCUUUUAUUGCUACCAGGGUUAUUGCUGGGGCUCAGU